Long non-coding RNA from Lactuca sativa (garden lettuce), 661 nucleotides. RefSeq lists it as uncharacterized. The record is from RefSeq and is a predicted model, not a curated record. NCBI's taxonomy places the organism in Eukaryota, Viridiplantae, Streptophyta, Magnoliopsida, Asterales, Asteraceae.
UUCUUGCUCUUUAUCUCUACCCUUAAUCUCUGUCGUAUUCACAACCUUUUUGUAUCUUGCUUUGCUUGUCACUCUUGUCCAGAAUCCAGAUUGAAGACUCCUACUUUCAUCCCUCUUCUUUUUUCCACAAAUCAGUAAUUGUUGGCGUUAAGUUUAUAUUUCGAGCUACACAUCUUCUGUAGGCGGGCAGACCGAAGACGACGAGAAAGGUGGAGAUUCCUUCAAUGGGCUCAACUUUUUGUUGUUUAAUGAGGAGGCAUGGUGUUAUGAUACAGAGGAUAGUCAAAUACAUAAUUGAAGGCCCAUGUCUACUUAAUUGGGGAGCGAAUCUAAACUUUUGCAUCUACUAAAUCUGAGGAAUGGAACAAAGAUACUUUCUGCUAACAAGUUAUGAACAAAGAUAACUUCUACCAACAAGUUAUGAAUUUGUACCAACUAAAUGAUCCAAAACUUCACUUUAUGUCUCACACUUCAAGAACAAUACAACAUAUGCAUGUUUGUAUUAACAAUGUUAUGUUAUUCUUUAAGCAUUUUUAUUUUAUUUCUUUCAUGUAUUACUCUUAAGAAUGUAUUUUUUUUCAAAAGUGUUAUUCUACAAGAAUUUUAGUUAUCUAAUAAUAUGUAAUUCCUUAUUCUUUAUGAAUGUCAUUUAUUUUUUCAA